Molecule: small RNA, 28 nt
Filed under: Bombyx mori (domestic silkworm)
Lineage: Eukaryota; Metazoa; Arthropoda; Insecta; Lepidoptera; Bombycidae
Description: ovarian small RNA-2710
Source: RNAcentral
GAGGUGAGACUUCCGCGGUCGCGGCCCA